RNAcentral lists this ribosomal RNA (301 nucleotides) under uncultured bacterium. RNAcentral's name for it is "partial 16S ribosomal RNA". It matches the Rfam family "Bacterial small subunit ribosomal RNA", at positions 509 to 807 of the family's 1533-position model. The record is from RNAcentral.
CAGUCGCCGCGGGAAUACGUAGGUGGCAAGCGUUGUCCGGAAUUAUUGGGCGUAAAGGGCUCGCAGGCGGUUUCUUAAGUCUGAUGUGAAAGCCCCCGGCUCAACCGGGGAGGGUCAUUGGAAACUGGGAAACUUGAGUGCAGAAGAGGAGAGUGGAAUUCCACGUGUGGCGGUGAAAUGCGUAAAGAUGUGGAGGAACACCAGUGGCGAAGGCGACUCUCUGGUCUGUAACUGACGCUGAGGAGCGAAAGCGUGGGGAGCAAACAGGAUUAGAUACCCCGGUAGUCCCUGUCUCUUAUAC